AUAGAUCGGUGUUUUUCCCCAACCUCCCCUUUUGGAUUUCCACGGGGAAGCCUUGGUAAGAGUGGAAUUCAUCUCCUUCCCCUGUAAUUAAGUUUUUUUGGAGGUUUUGGCUGUGUGGGAUUAAAGGAUUAGAGGUUGGAUUGGAGUUUAACUUCAUUUUCUAAUUGCGGUUUCCUGGUAGAUUCAAUAGUCUGUCUAGGGUACGAGUUUUGGAUAUGUUAGGUGCGGAAUUGAUUCUUGAGAUACAUUAGGAAGUUAUGGAGGAUUUUGUAUGUUUUCCAAAUUGUAUUUGAUUGCAAUUUUUGGUGGAGUAGAACUCCAGUUAUGGCCGGUUCAAUGUGACUAUUCGUGUUUGCCUGGCAAAUCGAGUUAGGUCUGUUCAUUGGUAUUUUUCACGUUGUAAAUUGCUGAAUUAGCUCUUCAAACUAUGAAGACUUUUGUAGAAGGAUAAAAGUUCUUCUUGUCAGCAAAAUUUUAUAAUUUUGGUUGUAUAGUUUAGGAGAUAUGAAUUUUUAUAUGUUGCUAUCUGGGCUGUUAUGCAGAUUCAGAAGUGCUGUUUUAAGUUGUGUUUUAUAAAUAUUUACUUGAUACCUAAUCUAUUGU
This 603-nucleotide long non-coding RNA is filed under the name Setaria viridis. RNAcentral's name for it is "long non-coding RNA (SVIR_LNC008513)". Lineage: Eukaryota; Viridiplantae; Streptophyta; Magnoliopsida; Poales; Poaceae. The record is from RNAcentral.